ACCUGGGUGGCUCAGUUGGUUAAGCAUCCGACUUCAGCUCAGGUCAUGAUCUCAUGGUUCGUGAGUUCGAGUCCCACAUCAGGUU
RNAcentral lists this transfer RNA (85 nucleotides) under Felis catus (domestic cat). It matches the Rfam family "tRNA". Rfam says of the family: Transfer RNA (tRNA) molecules are approximately 80 nucleotides in length. Their secondary structure includes four short double-helical elements and three loops (D, anti-codon, and T loops). Lineage: Eukaryota; Metazoa; Chordata; Mammalia; Carnivora; Felidae. RNAcentral also lists the same sequence under 4 other names. The record is from Rfam by way of RNAcentral.